GGGCCCGUAGCUCAGCCAGGUAGAGCGGCGGGCUCUUAAUCUAAGCCGUAGCAAGGUAGAGGAGAUACCCGUAGGUCCCGGGUUCAAAUCCCGGCGGGCCCG
This 102-nucleotide transfer RNA is filed under the name Sulfolobus acidocaldarius DSM 639. It matches the Rfam family "tRNA". From Rfam's summary of the family: Transfer RNA (tRNA) molecules are approximately 80 nucleotides in length. Their secondary structure includes four short double-helical elements and three loops (D, anti-codon, and T loops). Lineage: Archaea; Thermoproteati; Thermoproteota; Thermoprotei; Sulfolobales; Sulfolobaceae. The record is from Rfam by way of RNAcentral.